RNAcentral lists this ribosomal RNA (497 nucleotides) under uncultured bacterium. Its description in RNAcentral is "partial 16S ribosomal RNA". It matches the Rfam family "Bacterial small subunit ribosomal RNA", at positions 28 to 507 of the family's 1533-position model. The record is from RNAcentral.
GAUGAACGCUGGCGGCGUGCCUAAUACAUGCAAGUCGAGCGAACAGACGAGGAGCUUGCUCCUCUGACGUUAGCGGCGGACGGGUGAGUAACACGUGGAUAACCUACCUAUAAGACUGGGAUAACUUCGGGAAACCGGAGCUAAUACCGGAUAACAUGUUGAACCGCAUGGUUCAACAGUGAAAGACGGUCUUGCUGUCACUUAUAGAUGGAUCCGCGCCGCAUUAGCUAGUUGGUAAGGUAACGGCUUACCAAGGCAACGAUGCGUAGCCGACCUGAGAGGGUGACCAGCCACACUGGGACUGAGACACGGUCCAGACUCCUACGGGAGGCAGCAGUAGGGAAUCUUCCGCAAUGGGCGAAAGCCUGACGGAGCAACGCCGCGUGAGUGAAGAAGGUCUUCGGAUCGUAAAUCUCUGUUAUUAGGGAAGAACAAAUGUGUAAGUAACUAUGCACGUCUUGACGGUACCUAAUCAGAAAGCCACGGCUAACUACGUG